GACGAACGCUGGCGGCGUGCUUAACACAUGCAAGUCGAACGAUGAACCCGGAGCUUGCUCUGGGGGAUUAGUGGCGAACGGGUGAGUAACACGUGAGUAACCUGCCCUGGACUCUGGGAUAAGCGUUGGAAACGACGUCUAAUACCGGAUAGGACCUUGGAUCGCAUGAUCUGGGGUGGAAAGUUUUUUCGGUCUGGGAUGGACUCGCGGCCUAUCAGCUUGUUGGUGAGGUAAUGGCUCACCAAGGCGUCGACGGGUAGCCGGCCUGAGAGGGUGACCGGACACACUGGGACUGAGACACGGCGCAGACUCCUACGGGAGGCAGCCGGAGGGAAUAUUGCACAAUGGGCGAAAGCCUGAUGCAGCAACGCCGCGUGCGGGAGGACGGCCUUCGGGUUGUAAACCGAUUGUAGUAGGGAAGAAGGGCUUCGGCUUGACGGUACCUGCAGAAAAAGGACCGGCUAACUACGUG
This 472-nucleotide ribosomal RNA is filed under the name uncultured bacterium. Its description in RNAcentral is "partial 16S ribosomal RNA". It matches the Rfam family "Bacterial small subunit ribosomal RNA", at positions 28 to 507 of the family's 1533-position model. The record is from RNAcentral.